This 468-nucleotide ribosomal RNA is filed under the name uncultured bacterium. RNAcentral's name for it is "partial 16S ribosomal RNA". It matches the Rfam family "Bacterial small subunit ribosomal RNA", at positions 28 to 507 of the family's 1533-position model. The record is from RNAcentral.
GACGAACGCUGGCGGCGUGCUUAACACAUGCAAGUCGAACGGAAAGGCCCUGCUUUUGUGGGGUGCUCGAGUGGCGAACGGGUGAGUAACACGUGAGUAACCUGCCCUUGACUUUGGGAUAACUUCAGGAAACUGGGGCUAAUACCGUAUAGGAGCUCCUGCUGCAUUGUGGGGGUUGGAAAGUUUCGGCGGUUGGGGAUGGACUCGCGGCUUAUCAGCUUGUUGGUGGGGUAGUGGCUUACCAAGGCUUUGACGGGUAGCCGGCCUGAGAGGGUGACCGGCCACAUUGGGACUGAGAGACGGACCAGACUCCUACGGGAGGCAGCAGUGGGGAAUAUUGCACAAUGGGCGGAAGCCUGAUGAAGCAACGCCGCGUGCGGGAUGACGGCCUUCGGGUUGUAAACCGCUUUCGCCUGUGACGAAGCGUGAGUGACGGUAAUGGGUAAAGAAGCACCGGCUAACUACGUG